This 429-nucleotide ribosomal RNA is filed under the name uncultured prokaryote. RNAcentral describes it as "bacterial SSU rRNA". It matches the Rfam family "Bacterial small subunit ribosomal RNA", at positions 355 to 776 of the family's 1533-position model. The record is from RNAcentral. RNAcentral also lists the same sequence under 1 other name.
UGGGGAAUUUUGGACAAUGGGGGAAACCCUGAUCCAGCAAUGCCGCGUGCAGGAUGAAGGCCUUCGGGUUGUAAACUGCUUUUGUACGGAACGAAAAGGCUCCUUCAAAUAAAGGGGGCCCAUGACGGUACCGUAAGAAUAAGCACCGGCUAACUACGUGCCAGCAGCCGCGGUAAUACGUAGGGUGCAAGCGUUAAUCGGAAUUACUGGGCGUAAAGCGUGCGCAGGCGGUUAUGUAAGACAGAUGUGAAAUCCCCGGGCUCAACCUGGGAAUUGCAUUAGUGACUGCAUAGCUUGAGUGCGGCAGAGGGGGAUGGAAUUCCGCGUGUAGCAGUGAAAUGCGUAGAUAUGCGGAGGAACACCGAUGGCGAAGGCAAUCCCCUGGGCCUGCACUGACGCUCAUGCACGAAAGCGUGGGGAGCAAACAGG